Molecule: unclassified non-coding RNA, 400 nt
Filed under: Hevea brasiliensis (rubber tree)
Lineage: Eukaryota; Viridiplantae; Streptophyta; Magnoliopsida; Malpighiales; Euphorbiaceae
Source: RNAcentral
AGAUCUAUUGUUUCUUGGUAGAAUUUCUCAUUACUGUGUUUCGUUUGCUCUGCUGUUUCGAUUUAUAUUCAGUUGAUUUGUUCAGUCAAAUUUGUCACUAUAUGGCAGUAUCUUGAAUAUACCAGUCCUGGUAGAACUUCAUUUCUGUUGAAGUUUCUUUGUUCUUGGUCAAUUCAAAGCCUUUUUCACUCUAAUAGCCUCUUUCAAAUCGUGCAAUUUUUUAAUUUUGUGCUGUAGAUUUCCAUUUAUUUGUUUAAUCAAAUAAGAAGCAUCUCUUUGCCGUUCUUGGAUACUAGGAAUUUGAAACGCCUGAACUGUGCCUUACUGGGCAUCUUAAGUCCAAGUUUAAUAGUUAAGUAAGGAACAAGACAAGGAGCCUGGUGGCAGUUUCUCUUCUUUU